RNAcentral lists this ribosomal RNA (468 nucleotides) under uncultured bacterium. RNAcentral's name for it is "partial 16S ribosomal RNA". It matches the Rfam family "Bacterial small subunit ribosomal RNA", at positions 28 to 507 of the family's 1533-position model. The record is from RNAcentral.
GACGAACGCUGGCGGCGUGCUUAACACAUGCAAGUCGAACGGAAAGGCCCUGCUUUUGUGGGGUGCUCGAGUGGCGAACGGGUGAGUAACACGUGAGUAACCUGCCCUUGACCUUGGGAUAACUUCAGGAAACUGGGGCUAAUACCGGAUAGGAGCUCCUGCUGCAUGGUGGGGGUUGGAAAGUUUCGGCGGUUGGGGAUGGACUCGCGGCUUAUCAGCUUGUUGGUGGGGUAGUGGCUUACCAAGGCUUUGACGGGUAGCCGGCCUGAGAGGGUGACCGGCCACAUUGGGACUGAGAUACGGCCCAGACGCCUACGAGAGGCAGCAGUGGGGAAUAUUGCACAACGGGCGGAAGCCUGAUGCAGCAACGCCGCGUGCGGGAUGACGGCCUUCGGGUUGUAAACCGAUUUCGCCUGUGACGAAGCGUGAGUGACGGUAAUGGGUAAAGAAGCACCGGCUAACUACGUG